AGCGAACCGGGAAGAGCUCAAAUUUGUAAUCUGGCGCCCCUCGGGCUCAGAGUUGUAAUCUACAGAGGCGUUUUCCGUGCCGGCCCGUGCCCAACUUUGCUUGGAACAGUGAGAUCAAAGAGGGUGAAAAUCCCGUACUUGACACGACCGCCGGUGCUAUGUGAUACGUCUUCUAAGAGUCGAGUUGUUUGGGAAUGCAGCUCAAAACGGGUGGUAAAUUCCAUCUAAGGCUAAAUAUUGGCGAGAGACCGAUAGCGAACAAGUACCGUGAGGGAAAGAUGAAAAGCACUUUGGAAAGAGAGUUAAACAGCACGUGAAAUUGUUGAAAGGGAAACGAUUGAAGUCAGYCGUGUCCGAGGGGUUCAGCCGGUCCUGCCGGUGCAUUCCUCUCGGACGGGUCAACAUCGGUUUUGUCCGGCGGACAAGGGCAUGGGGAAAGUGGCACCUUCGGGUGUGUUAUAGCCCCGUGUCGCAUACGUCGGACGAGACCGAGGAACGCAGCUCGCCUCACGGCCGGGUUCGCCCACGUACGAGCUUAGG
Molecule: ribosomal RNA, 540 nt
Filed under: Tremella flava
Lineage: Eukaryota; Fungi; Basidiomycota; Tremellomycetes; Tremellales; Tremellaceae
Description: LSU rRNA
Rfam family: Eukaryotic large subunit ribosomal RNA
Source: RNAcentral